GAUGAACGCUGGCGGCGUGCCUAAUACAUGCAAGUCGAGCGAACGGACGAGAAGCUUGCUUCUCUGAUGUUAGCGGCGGACGGGUGAGUAACACGUGGAUAACCUACCUAUAAGACUGGGAUAACUUCGGAAAACCGGAGCUAAUACCGGAUAAUAUUUUGAACCGCAUGGUUCAAAAGUGAAAGACGGUCUUGCUGUCACUUAUAGAUGGAUCCGCGCUGCAUUAGCUAGUUGGUAAGGUAACGGCUUACCAAGGCAACGAUGCAUAGCCGACCUGAGAGGGUGAUCGGCCACACUGGAACUGAGACACGGUCCAGACUCCUACGGGAGGCAGCAGUAGGGAAUCUUCCGCAAUGGGCGAAAGCCUGACGGAGCAACGCCGCGUGAGUGAUGAAGGUCUUCGGAUCGUAAAACUCUGUUAUUAGGGAAGAACAUAUGUGUAAGUAACUGUGCACAUCUUGACGGUACCUAAUCAGAAAGCCACGGCUAACUACGUGCCAGCAGCCGCGGUAAUACGUAGGUGGCAAGCGUUAUCCGGAAUUAUUGGGCGUAAAGCGCGCGUAGGCGGUUUUUUAAGUCUGAUGUGAAAGCCCACGGCUCAACCGUGGAGGGUCAUUGGAAACUGGAAAACUUGAGUGCAGAAGAGGAAAGUGGAAUUCCAUGUGUAGCGGUGAAAUGCGCAGAGAUAUGGAGGAACACCAGUGGCGAAGGCGACUUUCUGGUCUGUAACUGACGCUGAUGCGCGAAAGCGUGGGGAUCAAACAGGAUUAGAUACCCUGGUAGUCCACGCCGUAAACGAUGAGUGCUAAGUGUUAGGGGGUUUCCGCCCCUUAGUGCUGCAGCUAACGCAUUAAGCACUCCGCCUGGGGAGUACGACCGCAAGGUUGAAACUCAAAGGAAUUGACGGGGACCCGCACAAGCGGUGGAGCAUGUGGUUUAAUUCGAAGCAACGCGAAGAACCUUACCAAAUCUUGGCAUCCUUUGACAACUCUAGAGAUAGAGCCUUCCCCUUCGGGGGACAAAGUGACAGGUGGUGCAUGGUUGUCGUCAGCUCGUGUCGUGAGAUGUUGGGUUAAGUCCCGCAACGAGCGCAACCCUUAAGCUUAGUUGCCAUCAUUAAGUUGGGCACUCUAAGUUGACUGCCGGUGACAAACCGGAGGAAGGUGGGGAUGACGUCAAAUCAUCAUGCCCCUUAUGAUUUGGGCUACACACGUGCUACAAUGGACAAUACAAAGGGCAGCGAAACCGCGAGGUCAAGCAAAUCCCAUAAAGUUGUUCUCAGUUCGGAUUGUAGUCUGCAACUCGACUACAUGAAGCUGGAAUCGCUAGUAAUCGUAGAUCAGCAUGCUACGGUGAAUACGUUCCCGGGUCU
RNAcentral lists this ribosomal RNA (1372 nucleotides) under uncultured bacterium. RNAcentral's name for it is "bacterial SSU rRNA". It matches the Rfam family "Bacterial small subunit ribosomal RNA", at positions 28 to 1381 of the family's 1533-position model. The record is from RNAcentral.